UCGGGAAUCUUCGGCAAUGGGGGCAACCCUGACCGAGCAACGCCGCGUGAGUGAAGAAGGUUUUCGGAUCGUAAAGCUCUGUUGUAAGAGAAGAACGUGUGUGAGAGUGGAAAGUUCACACAGUGACGGUAACUUACCAGAAAGGGACGGCUAACUACGUGCCAGCAGCCGCGGUAAUACGUAGGUCCCGAGCGUUGUCCGGAUUUAUUGGGCGUAAAGCGAGCGCAGGCGGUUUAAUAAGUCUGAAGUUAAAGGCAGUGGCUUAACCAUUGUUCGCUUUGGAAACUGUUAAACUUGAGUGCAGAAGGGGAGAGUGGAAUUCCAUGUGUAGCGGUGAAAUGCGUAGAUAUAUGGAGGAACACCGGUGGCGAAAGCGGCUCUCUGGUCUGUAACUGACGCUGAGGCUCGAAAGCGUGGGGAGCAAACAGG
RNAcentral lists this ribosomal RNA (429 nucleotides) under bacterium. RNAcentral describes it as "partial 16S ribosomal RNA". It matches the Rfam family "Bacterial small subunit ribosomal RNA", at positions 355 to 776 of the family's 1533-position model. The record is from RNAcentral.